UGGGGAAUAUUGGGCAAUGGGGGGAACCCUGACCCAGCAACGCCGCGUGAAGGAAGAAGGCUUUCGGGUUGUAAACUUCUUUUACCAGGGACGAAGGACGUGACGGUACCUGGAGAAAAAGCCACGGCUAACUACGUGCC
Molecule: ribosomal RNA, 140 nt
Filed under: uncultured bacterium
Lineage: Bacteria
Description: partial 16S ribosomal RNA
Rfam family: Bacterial small subunit ribosomal RNA
Source: RNAcentral